GUCUCAGGCCGUAUCAGCCUGAAGGCGCCCGAUCUCGUCUGAUCUCGGAAGCUAAGCAGGUUCGGGCCUGGUUAGGAUCUUGGAUGGGAGACCACCUGGGAAUCCCGGGUGCUCGAGGCU
Molecule: ribosomal RNA, 120 nt
Filed under: Bison bison bison
Lineage: Eukaryota; Metazoa; Chordata; Mammalia; Artiodactyla; Bovidae
Source: RNAcentral